Molecule: long non-coding RNA, 350 nt
Organism: Brassica rapa (field mustard)
Lineage: Eukaryota; Viridiplantae; Streptophyta; Magnoliopsida; Brassicales; Brassicaceae
Source: RefSeq, a predicted model, not a curated record
UUAAAAACUGCUAUUUUUGAAAAGUUUUUCAUUUUUUUGAGAAAUAUUGUAGAUUUGGAAUUGGGUUUGUGAUUUAGAAAUUAUGAUAACAAGAAUAUUUUUGGAUAGAUGAGUAUUCUUUAAGAAUUUUUCAUCAAUAUGUUGAAUUUUUAAAUAAUUUUCUUAAAACCAGCUAUUUUUGGAAAGUUUUCAUUUUUUUUGAGAAAUAUUGUAGAUUUGAGUUUAUCAUUUAGAAAUUAGGAUAACAAGAAUUUUAUGGAUAGAUGAGUAUUCUUUCAUAAUUUUCAUCAAUAUGUUGUAUUUUAAAAUAAUUUUCUUAAAAACUGCUAUUAUUUGAAAGUUUUUAUUUU